Molecule: ribosomal RNA, 473 nt
Filed under: uncultured bacterium
Lineage: Bacteria
Description: bacterial SSU rRNA
Rfam family: Bacterial small subunit ribosomal RNA
Source: RNAcentral
ACUCCUACGGGAGGCAGCAGUAGGGAAUCUUCCACAACGGACGAAAGUCUGAUGGAGCAACGCCGCGUGAGUGAAGAAGGGUUUCGGCUCGUAAAACUCUGUUGUUAAAGAAGAACAUAUCUGAGAGUAACUGUUCAGGUAUUGACGGUAUUUAACCAGAAAGCCACGGCUAACUACGUGCCAGCAGCCGCGGUAAUACGUAGGUGGCAAGCGUUGUCCGGAUUUAUUGGGGCGUAAAGCGAGCGCAGGCGGUUUUUAAGUCUGAUGUGAAAGCCUUCGGCUCAACCGAAGAAGUGCAUCGGAAACUGGGAAACUUGAGUGCAGAAGAGGACAGUGGAACUCCAUGUGUAGCGGUGAAAUGCGUAGAUAUAUGGAAGAACACCAGUGGCGAAGGCGGCUGUCUGGUCUGUAACUGACGCUGAGGCUCGAAAGUAUGGGUAGCAAACAGGAUUAGAUACCCUGGUAGGAUAGCG